Molecule: RNA transcript, 1352 nt
Organism: Aegilops tauschii subsp. strangulata
Lineage: Eukaryota; Viridiplantae; Streptophyta; Magnoliopsida; Poales; Poaceae
Gene name: universal stress protein PHOS34-like
Source: RefSeq, a predicted model, not a curated record
UAGGAGCCAACGAUCGAUGAGCAUGUGCUCGCUUGAGGCUGUGUCAGUGUGGUCUUUACCGCGAGUGAAGGCAUCAUCAUGGAGGAGGUGAGCGCCGAGGCCGCGGCCAUGGCGAGCGGCAUGGCGCCUGGCGCCGGAGCCGGAGGAGCAGAGGGCGCGACGAUGAAGGUGGUGGCGGCGGUGGACGCGAGCGAGGAGAGCCUGCACGCGCUGUCGUGGGCGCUCGACAACGUCGUCCGGCCCCACCCCGGCGCGUCCGUCGUCGUCGUCCACGUCCAGCAUCACGCCGACCACUUCGCCUACCCUGUCGCCGGGCACGGCCUACAGUACGUCCCGCCCACGGCGGUGGACUCCGUGAGGAAGACGCACGAGGAGAACUCCCGGCGAGUCGUGUCCGCCGCGCUCGAUGUCUGCAGGCAGAAACAGGCGAGCGCCACGGCGGCGGUGGUGGAGGGCGACGCCAAGGAGGCCAUCUGCCGCGCCGUGGAGGACAUGCACGCCGACCUCCUCGUCCUCGGCAGCCGCGGCCUGGGCAUGAUCAAGAGGCCUGGCAUGUGUUGGGUCAUCACCACCACAGGGUUUUAGGAGCACAUCAGAACCAGUUCAGUCUAGUGAAGCAAGAGGCAAUGCAGCUAGGGCGGAUGACAUGCUGCCACUGAACACAUCCACAACAGCAGCUGUUAGGAGGCAUCAGAAUUAGAUGUGCGUCAAAAGAGAUAUGCAAAUAGGGGCAGCAGGAAGUGUCGCCAGAGAAUACAGUGUACACCAUCAAGCAGGCACUCAUCAUCCUCAGGGAGCUCGGCUGAAGAUGGAGAUAAUGUUGACAACCGCAAACAAACUACGAGAUUUCGACGACAGAAUGCUUCAUCCCAUGUUGCUGCGGUUGGUUCGGCAAACCAACCACCAAGCGUGCUAAGGGGGGCAACGAUACCAGUGGGCAUGACCGUGCGUGGAAGCAGCAGUGAAUUGUCUUCCCAGGGAUUACAAUUGCAGCUAGAGGAGAGAGCUCGGCUGCAGCAAUGUGUACUUCAGCAGGAGACGAUGCAGACAUGGUUGGGAACGAAUUGGAGUGGCGGUACCAGCUCAAAUUGAUUGGAAGGCCAAUCUAUGGGGGAUCCACAAGUCUACGAACAGGAGGAGCAGUGUUGGGGGAGAUUGGUAGCUCCCAUGGGCGGAUGUCAUAAAGGAGCUCACUAGCGGCGUUAGUCCAGAAUCCACGAUGAGACGGCUCGUAUCGUCUAUCUCCAUCUGAUCUGUGCUAAGGAUAGCUGACAGGGUAAAAGAGAUAGCAUCUAGGUAGUGGGCCAUGGGCCAUAAUAAAAAAUGGAAUACAUAAGUUAUAACUGUACCUA